AACAUCGCCUCCUGAUAACCAAAUAUAGGAGGUCCAGCCUGCCCGGUGACAAUAGUUUAACGGCCGCGGUAUUUUGACCGUGCAAAGGUAGCGCAAUCACUCGUCCUUUAAAUAGGGACCUGUAUGAAUGGCUAAACGAGGGCUUAACUGUCUCCCCCUUUAAGUCAGUGAAAUUGAUCUAUCCGUGCAGAAGCGGAUAUAAUAAUACAAGACGAGAAGACCCUUUGGAGCUUAAGGUACAAGAAUUAAAUCACACCAAACAAACCAAUAAACGUAACUAAUUCAGUGAAAAAUAAAUCUUUACCUUCGGUUGGGGCGACCACGGAGCAAAAAGUAACCUCCAAGUGGAGCGGGUAUAACCCUAAAACCAAGAAAAACAUUUCUAAGCCUCAGAACAUCUGACCAAAAAUGAUCCGGUCAUCUAUAAACCGAUCAACGAACCAAGUUACCCUAGGGAUAACAGCGCAAUCCUCUCCAAGAGUCCAUAUCGACGAGGGGGUUUACGACCUCGAUGUUGGAUCAGGACAUCCUAAUGGUGCAGCCGCUAUUAAGGGUUCGUUUGUUCAACGAUUAAUAGUCCUACGUGAUCUGAGUUCAGACC
Molecule: ribosomal RNA, 601 nt
Filed under: Danio choprae
Lineage: Eukaryota; Metazoa; Chordata; Actinopteri; Cypriniformes; Danionidae
Description: Danio choprai partial 16S ribosomal RNA
Rfam family: Bacterial large subunit ribosomal RNA
Source: RNAcentral